GACGAACGCUGGCGGCGUGCUUAACACAUGCAAGUCGAACGGUGAAGCGCCUUCCUUUUUGGUGGGUGUGGAUGAGUGGCGAACGGGUGAGUAACACGUGAGUAACCUGCCCCCUUCUUCUGGAUAACCGCAUGAAAGUGUGGCUAAUACGGGAUAUUCUGGGUCUGUCGCAUGAUGGGUCUGGGAAAGAUAUUGUUUCGGUGGGGGAUGGGCUCGCGGCCUAUCAGCUUGUUGGUGGGGUGAUGGCCUACCAAGGCGGUGACGGGUAGCCGGCCUGAGAGGGUGGACGGUCACACUGGGACUGAGACACGGCCAAGACUCCUACGGGAGGCAGCAGUGGGGAAUAUUGCACAAUGGGCGCAAGCCUGAUGCAGCGACGCCGCGUGAGGGAUGGAGGCCUUCGGGUUGUGAACCUCUUUCGCCAGUGAAGCAGGCCUGCCUCGUUUGUGGGUGGGUUGACGGUAGCUGGACAAGAAGCGCCGGCUAACUACGUG
This 494-nucleotide ribosomal RNA is filed under the name uncultured bacterium. Its description in RNAcentral is "partial 16S ribosomal RNA". It matches the Rfam family "Bacterial small subunit ribosomal RNA", at positions 28 to 507 of the family's 1533-position model. The record is from RNAcentral.